UCUCGGCUUAUCACCGGCAGUCCCCUUAGAGUGCCCAACCAAAUGAUGGCAACUAAGGGCGAGGGUUGCGCUCGUUGCGGGACUUAACCCAACACCUCACGGCACGAGCUGACGACGGCCAUGCAGCACCUUGCUUUGUGUCCCGAAGGAAAGCCUCAUCUCUGAGGCGGUCACGCGCAUUCUAGCCUAGGUAAGGUUCCUCGCGUAUCAUCGAAUUAAACCACAUGCUCCACCACUUGUGCGGGCCCCCGUCAAUUCCUUUGAGUUUUAGCCUUGCGGCCGCACUCCCCAGGCGGGGCGCUUAAUGCGUUAGCUGCGGCACGGAACUCGUGGAAUGAGUCCCACACCUAGCGCCCAACGUUUACGGUGUGGACUAC
Molecule: unclassified non-coding RNA, 377 nt
Filed under: uncultured bacterium
Lineage: Bacteria
Description: contains 16S-23S intergenic spacer region
Source: RNAcentral